This 241-nucleotide ribosomal RNA is filed under the name uncultured Acanthamoeba. Its description in RNAcentral is "partial 18S ribosomal RNA". It matches the Rfam family "Eukaryotic small subunit ribosomal RNA", at positions 97 to 279 of the family's 1831-position model. Lineage: Eukaryota; Discosea; Longamoebia; Acanthamoebidae. The record is from RNAcentral.
CUCAUUAAAUCAGUUAUAGUUUAUUUGAUGGUCUCUUUUGUCUUUUUUUACCUACUUGGAUAACCGUGGUAAUUCUAGAGCUAAUACAUGCGCAAGGUCCCGAGCGCGGGGGGGCAGGGCUUCACGGCCCUGUCCUCGCAUGCGCAGAGGGAUGUAUUUAUUAGGUUAAAAACCAGCGUAGUCAGCAAUGGCUACAAACUCCCCUGGUGAUUCAUAGUAACUCUUUCGGAUCGCAUUCAUG